This 255-nucleotide ribosomal RNA is filed under the name uncultured bacterium. RNAcentral describes it as "partial 16S ribosomal RNA". It matches the Rfam family "Bacterial small subunit ribosomal RNA", at positions 524 to 776 of the family's 1533-position model. The record is from RNAcentral.
UACGUAGGGGGCAAGCGUUGUCCGGAUUUAUUGGGCGUAAAGAGCUCGUAGGCGGUCAGUCGCGUCUGCUGUGAAAACUCGGGGCUUAACUCCGGGCCUGCAGUGGGUACGGGCUGACUAGAGUGCGGUAGGGGAGACUGGAAUUCCUGGUGUAGCGGUGAAAUGCGCAGAUAUCAGGAGGAACACCGGUGGCGAAGGCGGGUCUCGUGGGCCGUAACUGGACGCUGAGGAGCGAAAGCGUGGGGAGCGAACAGG